Molecule: ribosomal RNA, 369 nt
Filed under: uncultured bacterium
Lineage: Bacteria
Description: bacterial SSU rRNA
Rfam family: Bacterial small subunit ribosomal RNA
Source: RNAcentral
GAUGAACGCUGGCAGCGUGCCUAAUGCAUGCAAGUCGGCACGCACGGAGCUUGCUCCGUGAGUGGCGCACGGCUGAGGAUCACGUGGGAACAUGCCUCCUUGUGGGGACACACCGCGAAGCGGUGCUAAUCCGCAUACGCUCUCGUUAAAGAGAGGAAAGCGGUAACGCGCAGGGAGAGUGGCCCGCGGCCCAUCAGGUCGUUGGUGGGGAAUGGCCUACCAAGCCGGUGACGGGUAGCUGGUCUGUGAGGACAGACAGCCAGACUGGGACUGAGACACGGCCCAGACUCCUACGGGAGGCAGCAGCAAGGAAUUUUCGUCAAUGGGCGCAAGCCUGAACGAGCAACGCCGCGUGGAGGAUGACGGCCU